Molecule: transfer RNA, 72 nt
Filed under: Philetairus socius (sociable weaver)
Lineage: Eukaryota; Metazoa; Chordata; Aves; Passeriformes; Passeridae
Description: tRNA-Glu
Source: RNAcentral
GUUCCUGUAGUUAAAGCAAUAUAACGGUGGCUUUUCAGGUCAUAUGUCUCGGAGAAAGGCCGAGUAGGAACU